RNAcentral lists this ribosomal RNA (253 nucleotides) under uncultured bacterium. Its description in RNAcentral is "partial 16S ribosomal RNA". It matches the Rfam family "Bacterial small subunit ribosomal RNA", at positions 524 to 776 of the family's 1533-position model. The record is from RNAcentral.
UACGUAGGAUGCAAGCGUUGUCCGGAAUUAUUGGGCGUAAAGGGUGCGCAGGCGGUUUUUCAAGUCAGAUGUGAAAUCUCCCGGCUUAACUGGGAGGGGCCAUUUGAAACUGGAGGACUAGAGUGCAGGAGAGGAUAGCGGAAUUCCCGGUGUAGUGGUGAAAUGCGUAGAUAUCGGGAGGAACACCAGUGGCGAAGGCGGCUACCUGGCCCACUCUUGACGCUGAGGCGCGAAAGCUAGGGGAGCAAACGGG